This 547-nucleotide ribosomal RNA is filed under the name Proteus vulgaris. Its description in RNAcentral is "partial 23S ribosomal RNA". It matches the Rfam family "Bacterial large subunit ribosomal RNA", at positions 1223 to 1769 of the family's 2925-position model. The record is from RNAcentral. Lineage: Bacteria; Pseudomonadati; Pseudomonadota; Gammaproteobacteria; Enterobacterales; Morganellaceae.
GUUGGGUAGGGGAGCGUUCUGUAAGCCUGCGAAGGUGUACUGUGAGGUAUGCUGGAGGUAUCAGAAGUGCGAAUGCUGACAUAAGUAACGAUAAUGCGGGUGAAAAACCCGCACGCCGGAAGACCAAGGGUUCCUGUCCAACGUUAAUCGGGGCAGGGUGAGUCGACCCCUAAGGCGAGGCUGAAAAGCGUAGUCGAUGGGAAACGGGUUAAUAUUCCCGUACUGGUGGUAACUGCGAUGGGGGAACGGAGAAGGCUAGGUUGUCCGGGCGACGGUCGUCCCGGUUCAAGCAUGUAGGCAGAGUGAUUAGGCAAAUCCGGUCACUUAAUGCUGAGGUGUGAUGACGAACCACUAAGGUGGUGAAGCAAUUGAUGCCCUGCUUCCAGGAAAAGCCUCUAAGCUUCAGGUUACCAACAAUCGUACCCCAAACCGACACAGGUGGUCAGGUAGAGAAUACUCAGGCGCUUGAGAGAACUCGGGUGAAGGAACUAGGCAAAAUGGUGCCGUAACUUCGGGAGAAGGCACGCUGGCGGUAAGUGAAGUCCCU